Molecule: long non-coding RNA, 1730 nt
Organism: Neopelma chrysocephalum (saffron-crested tyrant-manakin)
Lineage: Eukaryota; Metazoa; Chordata; Aves; Passeriformes; Pipridae
Exons: 2
Source: RefSeq, a predicted model, not a curated record
AAUGCCGCCGAGCUCGGGCAGGAGCCUCCCGCCCGCUGCUGCCGCGGCCCCCGGCGGGCCGGAGGCACCGAAGCGACGCCCUGACCAUCCCCAGGGAGAGUUCUCUGGCCGCGCUGGCUCGAUCAGUGAUCUCACGGAGAACCCCCUGAACGUGCAAAACCUCCGUGUGCUCGGAGACUGGCAGAGCUGAGCACAGCCACGGGUGAAAACAGCACCCCAGGAGAAAAGUAUUGAGGGAUUCGACAGAAAAAAGAAGAGGUACCGGCAGCCCCUGACAUCGAUGCACCUCUGUGCUUGUAAGAAAUCCUGAUUUUCUUCCUCAAAACUCAGCGCCUAAACUUUGCCUUGGAGCUGCUCAUCUUCAUCACACAGUACAGGAACAGAAAAAAAAUGCUCUGAAACAGGUACAGGAAUCCUGACCUAUGAAGAAAACCCAGUUUUGUCCAUGUACCAGAGGUGAAACAAUAACAGUUCUGCUGAAAGAGUUAAAAAAAAAUACCCUUGCUGCUCUCAAUAUCCGUAUUAUAGACAUUGUAAGCAUUAUUAUGAAUAACACUGAACUUGGUUUCUGUUUUGCUCUUGUCCUACUUUGGGUUCUGUGGAAUGGUGUUCAAUAAAAGUUUGACUUCAUGUACAGUCAGAACCUCUUCUCACCAACAGGAAAGCCUAAUAAGCUUCAGAAUAUAUAUUGUUGUUCAAUUACAUUAAAAAUAAAGUCAAAGCCCUCAGUUUUUAUAACUCUGUAGCAUUUAUAAAAAAGUAUUUUAAAAUCGUACCUUGUGGGCACUAUUCAUAGCAUUCAUACUGUAAAAUAAGACAAGAAAAUUUAAGCAUUAUCUCCAGAAUGAAUUCAGUUUUGUGAAUUCUGUGGUUUGUGAUUUUAUUGAAAUGCAUUUCAACUUUCAGAAGUUCACUGAAGCAAAAGCCUCCUUUUCAUUACUGCUGUUCCUGUUUGGAGUAUGUUAACAGUUUUUAAGCUUUUCGUAACUAGUUUCUGAUUUUUAAUUAUCCACUACAUUUAUAAAGCAUAUCUUCGUGUUUUCUUUAAGUAUAAGGGGACUAAACCAAAGGCUUACACUAAAGAAGUGAUGUUCUUUCCAUGUCACUGAAGUUCUUAGCAUCAGGAAGGCACUGAUAAGAAGUUAAGUAUGUGCACAAAAACAUACAGAACAGGAGCCUUAGUUUCUAGACUCCAAAGAUAUCAUAGUAUUAAAUUUGAAAAAUCAAGUACUUCUAAUUCUGUAGGAUUUUUAGCAAGACAAAUGGUAUUGUUAAGGCUUCUGAGAUUAUAUAUGUGUCUACAAAGAUGCAAGUGAUCCAGUAAUUUUGCAACAAGGUAGACAGGUAUCAUGAAAAGAUUCUAGAUUUGUGCACCACUGAAAAGGGUGACAAACUGUAACCUGCUACUCUGAUAUGAAGCAUUUGGUUGUUUGGCUUUUUUCCAGAUUAUCACUUGUUUGGCUGUUGGUUAAAACACCAAAUUCAUAGUGAGUUCUCUCGGUGAGAGAAUCCUCAUCUUUUUUGUGUGAGAGAACACACAAAAAAAAUUCAAGUUACUGUUUAAAUAUUCACAAGUAUUCUAUUAAUCUACUUCUAAUACUUCUUAUUGAAUGUACAUUGCAUAGAAUUCCCAUGCAGAACAUGACCAUAAACCAAUUUCUGCUGUGAAGUCAUUAAUGUUAUAAAAAUAACUGGCUGUCUUGAAAAAAAAUAAAUACGAUGUACUAUAA